Molecule: ribosomal RNA, 468 nt
Filed under: uncultured bacterium
Lineage: Bacteria
Description: partial 16S ribosomal RNA
Rfam family: Bacterial small subunit ribosomal RNA
Source: RNAcentral
GACGAACGCUGGCGGCGUGCUUAACACAUGCAAGUCGAACGGAAAGGCCCUGCUUUUGUGGGGUGCUCGAGUGGCGAACGGGUGAGUAACACGUGAGUAACCUGCCCUUGACUUUGGGAUAACUUCAGGAAACUGGGGCUAAUACCGGAUAUGAGCUCCUGCUGCAUGGUGGGGGUUGGAAAGUUUCGGCGGUUGGGGAUGGACUCGCGGCUUAUCAGCUUGUUGGUGGGGUAGUGGCUUACCAAGGCUUUGACGAGUAGCCGGCCUGAGAGGGUUACCGGCCACAUUGGGACUGAGAUACGGCCCAGACUCCUACGGGAGGCAGCAGUGGAGAAUAUUGCACAAUGGGCGGAAGCCUGAUGCAGCAACGCCGCGUGCGGGAUGACGGCCUUCGGGUUGUAAACCGCUUUCGCCUGUGACGAAGCGUGAGUGACGGUAAUGGGUAAAGAAGCACCGGCUAACUACGUG